Molecule: ribosomal RNA, 461 nt
Filed under: uncultured bacterium
Lineage: Bacteria
Also listed under: 1 other name
Description: bacterial SSU rRNA
Rfam family: Bacterial small subunit ribosomal RNA
Source: RNAcentral
GAUGAACGCUGGCGGCGUGCUUAAUACAUGCAAGUCGAACGGAGACUGUAGCAAUACUGUCUUAGUGGCGAACGGGUGAGUAACGCGUUGGUGACCUGCCCCGAAGAGGGGGAUAACAGUCCGAAAGGAUUGCUAAUACCCCAUGUGGUCGUUUGGAUUAGAUGCCUUAUGACUAAACGGAUUUAUUCGCUUCGGGAGGGGCCUGCGUCCCAUCAGCUAGUUGGUGAGGUAAUAGCUUACCAAGGCGAUGACGGGUAGGGGACCUGAGAGGGUGGCCCCCCACAAUGGAACUGAAACACGGUCCAUACACCUACGGGUGGCAGCAGUAGGGAAUAUUGGUAAUCUGGGAAACCGGGAACCAGCAACGCCGCGUGCGCGAUGACGGCCUUCGGGUUGUAAAGCGCUUUUUAAAGGGAUGAGGAAGGACAGUACCUUUAGAAUAAGCCUCGGCUAACUACGUG